This 199-nucleotide long non-coding RNA is filed under the name Prunus persica (peach). RNAcentral describes it as "long non-coding RNA (PPER_LNC007629)". Lineage: Eukaryota; Viridiplantae; Streptophyta; Magnoliopsida; Rosales; Rosaceae. The record is from RNAcentral.
GAAAACCAUAAUUAUCAACAAAUCUUAAAACAAUAGCCAUUUGCUCUCUAUUUGAUAUGUCUUGUGAUUCAUCAACAAGGAUACAAAAAGCAACAUGCCCAAAUUCAUCACAAUUUUUUUUUCUCACUUUGUUAGCAAGAAUAUUUAAAACCUCAUUUUGAAUCAUUUUGAAUUCAAGGAUGAAAAGAAUAACCAAAUU